GAGGGUAUAGCUCAGUGGUAGAGUGUGUGCUUAGCAUGCAUGAGGUCCUGGGUUCAAUCCCCAGUACCGCUA
RNAcentral lists this transfer RNA (72 nucleotides) under Camelus ferus (Wild Bactrian camel). It matches the Rfam family "tRNA". From Rfam's summary of the family: Transfer RNA (tRNA) molecules are approximately 80 nucleotides in length. Their secondary structure includes four short double-helical elements and three loops (D, anti-codon, and T loops). Lineage: Eukaryota; Metazoa; Chordata; Mammalia; Artiodactyla; Camelidae. The record is from Rfam by way of RNAcentral.